CCUACGGGGUGCAGCAGUGGGGAAUAUUGGACAAUGGGCGAAAGCCUGAUCCAGCCAUGCCGCGUGUGUGAAGAAGGCCUUCGGGUUGUAAAGCACUUUCAGUGGGGAAGAAAGCCUUGGGGCUAAUACCCUCGAGGAAGGACAUCACCCACAGAAGAAGCACCGGCUAACUCCGUGCCAGCAGCCGCGGUAAUACGGAGGGUGCGAGCGUUAAUCGGAAUUACUGGGCGUAAAGCGCGCGUAGGCGGUCUGAUAAGCCGGUUGUGAAAGCCCCGGGCUCAACCUGGGAACGGCAUCCGGAACUGUCAGGCUAGAGUGCAGGAGAGGAAGGUAGAAUUCCCGGUGUAGCGGUGAAAUGCGUAGAGAUCGGGAGGAAUACCAGUGGCGAAGGCGGCCUUCUGGACUGACACUGACGCUGAGGUGCGAAAGCGUGGGUAGCAAACAGGAUUAGCUACCCUGGUAGUC
Molecule: ribosomal RNA, 465 nt
Filed under: Vreelandella stevensii
Lineage: Bacteria; Pseudomonadati; Pseudomonadota; Gammaproteobacteria; Oceanospirillales; Halomonadaceae
Description: partial 16S ribosomal RNA
Rfam family: Bacterial small subunit ribosomal RNA
Source: RNAcentral